RNAcentral lists this unclassified non-coding RNA (2204 nucleotides) under Limulus polyphemus (Atlantic horseshoe crab). Its description in RNAcentral is "cardioacceleratory peptide receptor-like, transcript variant X2". The record is from RNAcentral. Lineage: Eukaryota; Metazoa; Arthropoda; Merostomata; Xiphosura; Limulidae.
AGCACUGAAAGAGAGAGAGCGACAGGCGUUUCUCUAGAUGUGGAAGUCAUAUGUUAAAUUUUUUGUUGACUUCAUAAUGAAAAAACGUGGAAUCCAAAACUAUUCUAAACUGUUUUGAAUACAACUGUUAAUUGUAUUCCUGCUUGAAUAGGUACUUUAGUUCGUAAAAGGUCACCACGUAAGUUUAGGAAUUUUGGACAUUAAACUGACAUCGAAGACUGAAGAUUACAUUUUUAAAAGGGCACAAAUAUACCUCUGGUGGCUGUGAAUAAACUGUAUUUUAGAAAUAAUAAUUUAACGAUCUGUACCAUGGCCAUGGAAUGUCCAACCCCAGACUGCUUGGAUGGGCCAGUUUUCGUUCUAACUGUUCUUACAGUAAACACGUCCGACAAUACAUCUUCUAACAGCUCUACAGAAGAAGAUGAAAUAGAAUACUACUAUUUUUACAAGACGGAACAAAUCACCUUUAUGUGGGUUAUUUUUACGAUGAUUGUCGUUGGUAACAGUUCUGUCCUGGUGACAUUGUUGAUGUCGAAAAAUAGAAAGUCCCGGAUGAACUUCUUCAUAAUGCACCUAGCUCUUGCAGACUUGUCCGUGGGUUUGGUCCAGGUUUUGGCAGAUGUUAUCUGGAGGAUGACGGUGGACUUUUAUGGUGGAAGAAUUGUCUGUAAGCUUGUCCGUUAUUUACAGGUAAUGGUAACCUAUUCCUCAACGUAUAUGUUGGUCGCUCUAAGCAUAGAUCGUUAUAACGCAAUUACCCACCCAAUGAAGUUUCGAGGAAGUUGGAAGCGAGCUAGGAUCCUGGUAGUAUCUGCAUGGGGAGUCAGUACACUAGCCUCCAUCCCAGCCAUAUUUCUAAACGAAGACUUGGUAAUCAAAGGUCGAGUACAGUGCUGGAUUGACCUCAGUCCGUGGCAAUGGAAGGCCUACUUGAUGCUUGUAGCGCUGUCUUUAUUCUUCUUCCCAGCCCUGAUUAUUUCUACUUGUUACAGUGUGAUUGUGUACACUAUCUGGAACAAAAGCAAAGCCAUGGGUUAUCCAAAGAUUCAGAAUAAUUCCAUUCUUUCAAAACCAGGAAGCACCGUACGACAAAACGCUUCCAUUGACAGUGAUAUAGACAGUAGAAGAGCGAGUUCAAGAGGAAUAAUCCCAAAAGCAAAAAUAAAAUCUGUGAAGAUGACCCUUGUGAUAGUCUUUGUAUUCAUCCUUUGUUGGAGUCCCUACUUCAUAUAUGACUUGCUUCAAGUCUACGGGUUCAUUCCCAUCAACCAGACUCUAAUCGCUAUCUCAACGUUUAUUCAGGCGUUAGCUCCACUCAAUAGUGCCGCAAACCCUAUUAUCUACUGCUUCUUCUCCAGCCCUCCCUGUAAGAACUUCAAGAAAGUAAAGAAAAACUCCACCUUAAACGUAGGAAGCAGGAAGGCAGAACAUUUGCUGAAGUCUGACACUGCACAUUCAACAAGACAACAACUCAAGACUCACACUUAAAAGACGAAACAGAAACAGGAGAUGAAUGUGACGAAAGUUCGAGAAAAACGAGUUUCUAUGCAAAUUCGUACUCGUUAUUCAAACAGUGAAUUGCGACAGCUUUGACCGAAAACACGAUGGUUAUAGUGACGUCGCUCCCUGUUCGUAUAUACUACCGUAGGUUUACUUGUAGUAACGUCAUUUGACUCCGUUCAUCAGGCUCAACCAAAUCAUACUCAAUAAUAUUUGAAGUGGAGAGGUUAUCACAUUUUAAUUCUCUUUAAAUUUACAUUUUUCACUAGUGAUAUAUACUUGUUACGUGUGAGCACCAACUUUCAUUAUGUAUCCUCUUUAACAGACCGCAAAUAAACACAUUUGUGUUUCAACUAUUUUCGUGAUACCUAAGAAUAAGGAUAAAACAAAAUAAAUUAUUAAGAUAACGUGGGGAUUGAAGAUAGAUCCUUGAGUGGAAAGGAGUUUAAAGGCAGAGACAAGAAAAAUAUUACGCCCAAACUGUAAUGUUAAAACUGAUGACGAACACGAAACCUAUAUUAUGUGGCUUGAAAUUAAAUUUUCUGAAUAAAAUGUCUUAACCCUCUCAUGUGCGCCUCUCAUUUGUUUGUGAUUUGGGGUGCUUUUUUGUAUUAAUAACGUUAGCAAAAUAUCCUUUUUCGUAUGGGUACUAUAUAUAUAAUUAAAACAUGUCUCUGGUGGUAUUAUCGCAUUUCUUGUUAUGA